ACCAAGGCAGAGAUGGGUAGCUGGUCUGAGAGGAUGACCAGCCACACUGGAACUGAGACACGGUCCAGACUCCUACGGGAGGCAGCAGUAGGGAAUUUUGGGCAAUGGGCGAAAGCCUGACCCAGCAACGCCGCGUGUGGGAUGAAGGCCCUCGGGUCGUAAACCACUGUCAGGAGGAAAGAAAAGCCGGCCGGGUAAUAUUCGGUCGGCCUGACGGUACCUCCAAAGGAAGCACCGGCUAACUCCGUGCCAGCAGCCGCGGUAAUACGGAGGGUGCAAGCGUUGUUCGGAAUUACUGGGCGUAAAGCGCGUGUAGGUGGUUGAGUAAGUCGAAUGUGAAAGCCCCGGGCUCAACCCGGGAAGUGCAUCCGAAACUGCUCGACUAGAGUCCCGGAGAGGAAGGCAGAAUUCCCAAUGUAGGGGUGAAAUCCGUAGAUAUUGGGAGGAAUACCGGUGGCGAAGGCGGCCUUCUGGACGGUGACUGACACUCAGACGCGAAAGCGUGGGGAGCAAACAGGAUUAGAUACCCUGGUAGUCCACGCUGUAAACGUUGCGAACUAGGUGUCGGGGGUAUUCACCCCUCCGGUGCCGAAGCUAACGUCUUAAGUUCGCCGCCUGGGAAGUACGGCCGCAAGGCUAAAACUCAAAUGAAUUGACGG
RNAcentral lists this ribosomal RNA (659 nucleotides) under uncultured Pseudomonadota bacterium. RNAcentral describes it as "bacterial SSU rRNA". It matches the Rfam family "Bacterial small subunit ribosomal RNA", at positions 267 to 916 of the family's 1533-position model. The record is from RNAcentral. Lineage: Bacteria; Pseudomonadati; Pseudomonadota.